AACGAACGCUGGCGGCAUGCCUAACACAUGCAAGUCGAACGAGACCUUCGGGUCUAUUGGCGCACGGGUGCGUAACGCGUGGUAACCUGCCCUUAGGUUCGGAAUAACUCCCCGAAAGGGGUGCUCAUACCGGAUAAUGUCUUCGGACCAAAGAUUUAUGGCCUUUGGAUGGGCCCGCGUUGGAUUAGCUAGUUGGUAGGGUAAAAGCCUAGCAAGUCGACGAUCCAUAGCUGGUCUGAGAGCAUGAUCAGCCACACUGGGACUGAGACACGGCCUAGACUCCUACGGGAGGCAGCAGUGUGUAAUGUUGGACGAGGGGCGAAAGCCUGAUCAAGCAAUGCCGGGUAAGUGAUGAAGGCCUUAGGGUUGUAAAGCUCUUUUACCCGGGAUGAUAAUGACAGUACCGGGAGAAUAAGCUCCGGCUAACUCCGUG
This 433-nucleotide ribosomal RNA is filed under the name uncultured bacterium. Its description in RNAcentral is "partial 16S ribosomal RNA". It matches the Rfam family "Bacterial small subunit ribosomal RNA", at positions 29 to 507 of the family's 1533-position model. The record is from RNAcentral.